RNAcentral lists this ribosomal RNA (548 nucleotides) under uncultured Glomus. RNAcentral's name for it is "SSU rRNA". It matches the Rfam family "Eukaryotic small subunit ribosomal RNA", at positions 548 to 1098 of the family's 1831-position model. Lineage: Eukaryota; Fungi; Glomeromycota; Glomeromycetes; Glomerales; Glomeraceae. RNAcentral also lists the same sequence under 1 other name. The record is from RNAcentral.
UUGGAGGGCAAGUCUGGUGCCAGCAGCCGCGGUAAUUCCAGCUCCAAUAGCGUAUAUUAAAGUUGUUGCAGUUAAAAAGCUCGUAGUUGAAUUUCGGGAUCAGUACGCUGGUCGUGCCUCCGGUAUGUACUGGUGUCACUGGUUCCUCCCUUCUGAAGAACCAUCAUGCUAUUAAUUUAGUGUGGUGGGAAAUCAGGACUGUUACUUUGAAAAAAUUAGAGUGUUUAAAGCAGGCUCACGCUUGAAUACAUUAGCAUGGAAUAAUGAAAUAGGACGUUGAUCCUAUUUUGUUGGUUUCUAGGAUUGACGUAAUGAUUAAUAGGGAUAGUUGGGGGCAUUAGUAUUCAAUUGUCAGAGGUGAAAUUCUUGGAUUUAUUGAAGACUAACUACUGCGAAAGCAUUUGCCAAGGAUGUUUUCAUUAAUCAAGAACGAAAGUUAGGGGAUCGAAGACGAUCAGAUACCGUCGUAGUCUUAACCAUAAACUAUGCCGACUAGGGAUCGGAUGAUGUUAAUUUUUUAAUGACUCAUUCGGCGCCUUACGGGAAAC